GUGUGUCAGGUGUGUGUGUCAGGUGUGUGUCAGGUGUGUGUCAGGUGUGUGUCAGGUGUCAGGUGUGUGUCAGGUGUCAGGUGUGUGUCAGGUGUGUGUCAGGUGUGGGGUGUGUGUCAGGUGUGUGUCAGGUGUGUGUGUCAGGUGUGUGUGUCAGGUGUGUGUCAGGUGUGUGUCAGGUGUGUGUCAGGUGUGUGUCAGGUGUGUGUCAGGUGUGUGUCAGGUGUCAUGUGUGUGUCAGGUGUGUGUCAGGUGUGUGUCAGGUGUGUGUCAGGUGUCAGGUGUGUGUCAGGUGUGUGUCAGGUGUGUGUCAGGUGUGUGUCAGGUGUGUGUGUCAGGUGUGUGUCAGGUGUGUGUCA
This is a long non-coding RNA of Boleophthalmus pectinirostris (great blue-spotted mudskipper), 359 nucleotides long. RefSeq lists it as uncharacterized. The record is from RefSeq and is a predicted model, not a curated record. NCBI's taxonomy places the organism in Eukaryota, Metazoa, Chordata, Actinopteri, Gobiiformes, Gobiidae. The transcript is spliced from 3 exons.